Molecule: transfer RNA, 71 nt
Filed under: Urocitellus parryii (Arctic ground squirrel)
Lineage: Eukaryota; Metazoa; Chordata; Mammalia; Rodentia; Sciuridae
Also listed under: 1 other name
Description: Spermophilus parryii (Arctic ground squirrel) tRNA
Rfam family: tRNA
About the family: Transfer RNA (tRNA) molecules are approximately 80 nucleotides in length. Their secondary structure includes four short double-helical elements and three loops (D, anti-codon, and T loops).
Source: Rfam by way of RNAcentral
UGGGUUAUAGCUCAGUGGUAGAGCACUUGCCUCUCAAGUGUGAGGCACUGAGUUCAUCCUCAGCACCACAU